UACGUAGGGUCCGAGCGUUGUCCGGAAUUACUGGGCGUAAAGAGCUCGUAGGUGGUUUGUCGCGUUGUUCGUGAAAACUCACAGCUCAACUGUGGGCGUGCGGGCGAUACGGGGCAGACUUGAGUACUGCAGGGGAGACUGGAAGUUCCUGGUGGUAGCGGUGGAAUGCGCAGAUAUCCGGAGGAACACCGGUGGCGAAGGCGGGUCACUGGGCAGUAACUGGACGGCUGAGG
This 233-nucleotide ribosomal RNA is filed under the name uncultured bacterium. Its description in RNAcentral is "partial 16S ribosomal RNA". It matches the Rfam family "Bacterial small subunit ribosomal RNA", at positions 524 to 751 of the family's 1533-position model. The record is from RNAcentral.